AAAGUAAUUCAUAAUCAUAAUAUUUGCUGACAAAUAUUUGUCAAACAUUUUAUUAGAAUGCGUCGAGUUUUUUAAAUUGGCAACACUGGCUUCCCAAUUCACACUAACAGUGACAGUCUGACACAAACAAAAAACAAAAUUUGCAUCGGUUAGUCCGUUACUGUUCUAACAGCUAACACGAAGUAGUUUUAAGUAGUUUAGAAAAGCCAGCAAUGGAUUUUAAUUUCUCCACGCAUAAAGGGAUGGGUGUUGCAAGAAGACAAUUUUCCGUGUACCUUUAUAUGCCAGUGUUACACCACCACUUUGCUGAAAUACAACAAGGCCUUUCAAGUACAGUGCAGCAAGUUGAAGUAGCUUCUACUGAUAAUGAACAAACAACUGAUGGACUGAAUUGAAUUGUUCAUUUUCAGCCACAUUCAUCCUGAAUCGUUAACCAACUGAACAUGAACUAUUGAAUCUAGACAGUUUUGCACCAAAUAGGGUAUCACAUUGAUAACCACUGAACAUAGUUCCACAUCAAAGAGGAAAAUAUUAUUGUUACAGAAAAUCACCAACCAGUGUGAGGAAUCUUGGUACCGAAAACUGCAAGACCAAAUUUUGCCUACGUGUUCCAGGCUUCAACGGAUAGGAAAUAGCUGAUUUUAUGCUCACUCACAUGAAUACCAGGUGAACAAUGGUGAAAAAUGGGGGAAAAUAUCAGCUUGACAUUCCAACACAUGGGAUUCAAACUGAAAGAUGUCCUCCAGGUCUUACAAGUGGCUGGCGAGCAGCUAGAUGGAAUUUGCCAAAUUUCUUUGUCAGCCCUUGACUGAAAUCGUCUCUGCCAUCCAAAAAUUCUGUGACCACUGUUUAGUCCGGAAUACGAAAACCCAUUACAAUCAGGUUGCCAACUGUUUCGUGACUAAAAAAAGUCAACGAAGAAUUCUCCGUUAACGUCGAUUUUUAUCUGCCGGACAAGCAGUGCCUGAAGAGUUUAAUUGGAACCCGGUAUUUCAUGUGCCUGGAGGUGCACGACACGACUUAAUUGAAGUAAAACAUCGAGAAUACAGUGGUGGACAGUUGGACACACAUCUUUCGACAUCAUAUGAAGCUGCAGUUUGCUGGAUGUUGGGACCAUCUUCAAAGAAACUGGUUCAACCGAUUACAAAAUUUAUCCCGACUAUCUGCCACUGUUGAAAAAAGACUGGACGACAAGUUCGGUAACAACUCAGCAAUUUCCAAAAAUAAAACAGAUUCCUAUCUUACUCUAGAAGUUUAACUGAGUUACCCACCAGUGAUCCGGAGAAAAUGACACUCAAACUAGGCAGUGAGAGAUAUUUCUGUAACAUAGGCGCUACAAUGGGCAGACCAGUGUCCAACCAUACAAACGUUCUCAAACUAAAAUGUUUCGAUGCAUAAAUUUCGCGGGGAAUGGUUUAAAAUUUACAACGCUGUGUGUAAUCUACUUGGAAAAAUUAACUUUCCAGUCACUGACAUCGAAGAAUGAUUUAAGUGAAUGGAAUUUUGUAAGUUUGUAACUUUGGUUCAGUUCAGUGUAAAUCCGUUUUGUAUUGAUAAUACAUUAAAUAUCUUUUUGAAUG
RNAcentral lists this long non-coding RNA (1580 nucleotides) under Daphnia pulicaria. Its description in RNAcentral is "uncharacterized LOC124350359". Lineage: Eukaryota; Metazoa; Arthropoda; Branchiopoda; Diplostraca; Daphniidae. The record is from RNAcentral.